AAAUCCCUUACUGCACCUUAAAGACUGAGAAAUCUACCCCUUAAAGACUGAGAAAUCUACCCUUGUGUGGGAUGAUCAGCUGCAAUCUUAACAUCAGAAAGAGGGUGCCCAUAACCUUGGGCGAGCCCUCCCCCGCCUUCCCCGCAAAGCCUUCGAUCAACCGAGUCGACACGUUUUCUCUUCCCCUUGCCUUUUGUCGUUGGAAAUCCCUCACGCCAGGGAAACCGGACGGGGUACUUGUGGCGCGCGCGCCCCCGCAAACCACCACCCCCCGCGAGACGCGCUCAGUCCCGCACCUCCUGCCCUCGCCAAAGGGCGCCUCCGUCACGAGCAACGGGCAAGGCUAUUUGGGGAGGGGGGCUAUGGAGGGAAGGGAGGCGCCCCAGUUAAGGCAGCCCCCCCGUUCCAUUUGCAGNCCGCCGCCUCGCUCGCCCCGGGCUGCCUCUUCGCCAGAAACUUUGGCGAGCCCAAGGGCAGCCGAGGCGCGCGCUCCCCGCGUCUCUUUAUUCACCAACCACCACCACCACCCCGAGCGGCUCCCUGAAAAGGCGAGAAAGGGAGAGAGAGAAAAAGAAGACGAGUCUCUUACCCGACAGGUGGAGAGCGUGAGAGGGACGGGAUGCGCCGCGCACUCGCGGCCGCCUCGAACCCCGCAGAGCGCCAACGACUUCGAGACCGGGCUCUCGCCCUCCCUCCUGCGUCCCCCGGUCGGUCUACCCGGCACGGCUCCUCCACAAAGCAGCGGCCGCGCCUUGGCGCUCCGCCUAGUACCGGAAUGUCCGAGCCGUCACCGCCGCUCCAGUUGCAGCUCCAGGUCCAGCGGCAGCAGCACCACCACCACCACCACUAUUAUCGCCGCCAGUCGCCGCCGCCACUUCGGGCUCCCCCGCCCGCUUCCAACUCCACGCCAAGAGCAGGCAGCUCCGGAGCGCGCCACUCAUUGGCUGGAGCCGGCCCGCCGCUGACUUCACUCCAGCCGCUCACGCCCACUUAGUGGAUUUCCUAGGCAGGGUUUUUAUUCUAGGGGCGCCCGCUAGCGCUGCCAAGCGAAGCCCCGUAAGGCUCCCCGGGACUGACCAGCCGCCCAGCCAUGCUCCCCGGGACUGACCAGUGGCUGGACCGUUUGCACGAAGGAGCCUCCCCUCCAACCCCGCCGCCUCCUCCUCCUCCUCCUCGCCGUUUCCCUCUGGCGAGCGCCAAUGAUGAGAGGUAUAGUAAUAAAAAUAUAAUAAAAGGGAGACA
Molecule: long non-coding RNA, 1242 nt
Filed under: Pogona vitticeps (central bearded dragon)
Lineage: Eukaryota; Metazoa; Chordata; Lepidosauria; Squamata; Agamidae
Description: lncRNA (ENSPVIG00000022601.1)
Source: RNAcentral